AGCGAACGCUGGCGGCGUGCUUAACACAUGCAAGUCGAGUGCGCGGUUCGUAGCAAUACGAACUGGCGCACGGCGCACGGGUGAGGAACACGUGGGCAACAUGCCCUCCGAUGGGGAAUAACCCGCCGAAAGGCGGGCUAAUGCCGCAUACGAUUCCGGGGACCUCGGUUCCUGGACUGAAAGCCCGCAAGGGCGUCGGUGGAGUGGCCCGCGGCCGAUUAGCUUGUUGGCGGGGAAC
Molecule: ribosomal RNA, 238 nt
Filed under: uncultured bacterium
Lineage: Bacteria
Description: partial 16S ribosomal RNA
Rfam family: Bacterial small subunit ribosomal RNA
Source: RNAcentral